UACGAAGGGGGCAAGCGUUGUUCGGAAUUAUUGGGCGUAAAGGGAGCGUAGGCGGUUCGGCAAGUCUCUAGUGAAAUCUCUGGGCUCAACCCAGAGUCUGCUGGGGAAACUGCCGGGCUUGAGUAUGGGAGAGGUGAGUGGAAUUCCCAGUGUAGCGGUGAAAUGCGUAGAUAUUGGGAGGAACACCAGAUGCGAAGGCGGGUCACUGGGCUGAUACUGACGCUGAUAUUGCGAAAGCCAGGGGAGCGAACGGG
Molecule: ribosomal RNA, 254 nt
Filed under: uncultured prokaryote
Description: partial 16S ribosomal RNA
Rfam family: Bacterial small subunit ribosomal RNA
Source: RNAcentral